This 114-nucleotide ribosomal RNA is filed under the name Acanthosepion pharaonis. The record is from RNAcentral. Lineage: Eukaryota; Metazoa; Mollusca; Cephalopoda; Sepiida; Sepiidae.
UUACGGUCAAAUCACGCUGAAACACCGGCUCUCGUACGAUCACCGAAGUUAAGCAGCGUAGAGCCAGGUCAGUACUUAGAUGGGGGACCGCUUGGGAACACCUGGUACUGUAAG